RNAcentral lists this ribosomal RNA (459 nucleotides) under uncultured bacterium. RNAcentral's name for it is "partial 16S ribosomal RNA". It matches the Rfam family "Bacterial small subunit ribosomal RNA", at positions 338 to 795 of the family's 1533-position model. The record is from RNAcentral.
CCUACGGGAGGCUGCAGUGAGGAAUAUUGGUCAAUGGCCGAGAGGCUGAACCAGCCAAGUCGCGUGAGGGAAGACGGCCCUACGGGUUGUAAACCUCUUUUGUCGGGGAGCAAAGCGAGUCACGUGUGACUCAUUCAGAGUACCCGAAGAAAAAGCAUCGGCUAACUCCGUGCCAGCCGCCGCGGUAAUACGGAGGAGGCGAGUGUUAUCAGGAUUUAUUGGGUUUAAAGGGUGCGCAGGGGGAGGUGCAAGUCCGCGGUCAAAUUGCGGGGCUCAACCCCGUACUGCCGUUGAAACGGCAUCCCUUGAGUGCGCGAGAAGUAGGCGGAAUGCGUGGUGUAGCGGUGAAAUGCAUAGAUAUCACGCAGAACUCCGAUUGCGAAGGCAGCAUACCGGCGCGCAACUGACGCUGAUGCACGAAAGCGUGGGUAUCGAACAGGAGUAGAUACCCGUGUAGUC